CCUACGGGUGGCAGCAGUCGAGAAUCAUUCACAAUGGGGGAAACCCUGAUGGGGCGACGCCGCGUGGGGGAAUGAAGGUCUGCGGAUUGUAAACCCCUGUCAUGUGGGAGCAAAUUAAAAAGAUAGUACCACAAGAGGAAGAGACGGCGAACGCUGUGCCAGCAGCCGCGGUAAUACAGAGGUCUCAAGCGUGGGUCGGAACCACUGGGCGUAAAGUGUGCGUAGGCUGUUGCGUAAGUCGUGUGUGAAAGGCGCGGGCUCAACCCGCGGACGGCACGUGAUACUGCGAGACUAGAGUAAUGGAGGGGGAACCGGAAUUCUCGGUGUAGCCGUGAAAUGCGUAGAUAUCGGGAGGAACCCUCGUGGCGAAGGCGGGUUCCUGGACAUUAACUGACGCUGAGGCACGAAGGCCAGGGGAGCGAAAAGGAUUAGAUACCCCUGUAGUC
RNAcentral lists this ribosomal RNA (446 nucleotides) under uncultured bacterium. RNAcentral's name for it is "partial 16S ribosomal RNA". It matches the Rfam family "Bacterial small subunit ribosomal RNA", at positions 338 to 795 of the family's 1533-position model. The record is from RNAcentral.